GUGGGGAAUUUUGGACAAUGGGGGCAACCCUGAUCCAGCCAUGCCGCGUGCGGGAAGAAGGCCUUCGGGUUGUAAACUGCUUUUGUACGGAACGAAACGGUCCGGGUUAAUACCCUGGGCUAAUGACGGUACCGUAAGAAUAAGCACCGGCUAACUACGUGCCAGCAGCCGCGGUAAUACGUAGGGUGCAAGCGUUAAUCGGAAUUACUGGGCGUAAAGCGUGCGCAGGCGGUUUUGUAAGACAGGCGUGAAAUCCCCGGGCUCAACCUGGGAAUUGCGCUUGUGACUGCAAGGCUGGAGUGCGGCAGAGGGGGAUGGAAUUCCGCGUGUAGCAGUGAAAUGCGUAGAUAUGCGGAGGAACACCGAUGGCGAAGGCAAUCCCCUGGGCCUGCACUGACGCUCAUGCACGAAAGCGUGGGGAGCAAACAGGAUUAGAAACCCUUGUAGUCC
This 450-nucleotide ribosomal RNA is filed under the name uncultured bacterium. RNAcentral's name for it is "partial 16S ribosomal RNA". It matches the Rfam family "Bacterial small subunit ribosomal RNA", at positions 354 to 796 of the family's 1533-position model. The record is from RNAcentral.